ACAUUUCCCAGAAAGCCUUGCGCGGGGGGGGGCGGAGGCGGCAGGGAUGCGAUGGCGGAGUCGCUGCCCCUGGAGAUGCUCACAUAUAUUCUGAGCUUCCUGCCUCUGUCAGAUCAGAAAGAGGCCUCCCUCGUGAGCUGGGCUUGGUACCGUGCCGCCCAGAAUGCCCUUCGGGAGUGACUUGUCACCAAACCCAAUGCCCAGCACCCUCUGAAGCCAGAGGGCUACCCCCAGGCCUGCUGCUGCUCCGUAGACAGAUGUGCGAUACAACAUCCCCGUGUCCUCUGCCUCCCUCUCGGCCAUCAAGAGCCUGGGCCUCAAGGGCAUCUGCUGCAUCCGCCUGACCAACCUGGAUGGCUCUCCAGCUUCACACCAGAUGCUACAAUCUGUUGCUUACCACCUGGGCCCACACCUGCAGAGCUUGUCCCUGGGUGGAGGCAGUCCCACAGAGGCCUCCUUUGUGGCCCUGAUCCUGGGCUGCCCAGCCCUGUGUGUCCUUGACCUCAGUGGCUGCAAUAGCCUCUUCACCUCGGGCACA
Molecule: small RNA, 538 nt
Filed under: Pongo abelii (Sumatran orangutan)
Lineage: Eukaryota; Metazoa; Chordata; Mammalia; Primates; Hominidae
Description: processed transcript
Source: RNAcentral